AAGCGCGCGCUAGGUGGUUCGUUAAGUUUGGAUGUGAAAUCCCCGCGGCUCAACCUGGGAACUGCAUUCAAAACUGACGAGCUAGAGUAUGGUAGAGGGUGGUGGAAUUUCCUGUGUAGCGGUGAAAUGCGUAGAUAUAGGAAGGAACACCAGUGGCGAAGGCGACCACCUGGACUGAUACUGACACUGAGGUGCGAAAGCGUGGGGAGCAAACAGGAUUAGAUACCCCUGGGUAGUCCAGGU
Molecule: ribosomal RNA, 243 nt
Filed under: uncultured Pseudomonas sp.
Lineage: Bacteria; Pseudomonadati; Pseudomonadota; Gammaproteobacteria; Pseudomonadales; Pseudomonadaceae
Description: partial 16S ribosomal RNA
Rfam family: Bacterial small subunit ribosomal RNA
Source: RNAcentral